AACGCUGGCGGCAGCCUAACAAUGCAAGUCGAGCGCCCCUCCUUCAAGCGAGCUUGGAGGAUUGCGAUUGAGCGAAGCCGAAGGGCUCGCUUGAUGGAGGGGAGCGGCAGACGGGAGAGUAACACGUGGGAACGUACCCUUUGGUUCGGAACAACCCAGGGAAACUUGGGCUAAUACCGGAUAAGCCCUUACGGGGAAAGAUUUAUCGCCGAAGGAUCGGCCCGCGUCUGAUUAGCUAGUUGGUGGGGUAAUGGCCCACCAAGGCGACGAUCAGUAGCUGGUCUGAGAGGAUGAUCAGCCUCACUGGGACUGAGACACGGCCCAGACUCCUACGGGAGGCAGCAGUGGGGAAUAUUGGACAAUGGGCGCAAGCCUGAUCCAGCCAUGCCGCGUGGGUGAUGAAGGCCCUAAGGUUGUAAAGCCCUUUCGGCGGGGAAGAUAAUGACGGUACCCGCAGAAGAAGCCCCGGCUAACUUCGUGCCAGCAGCCGCGGUAAUACGAAGGGAGCUAGCGUUGCUCGGAAUCACUGGGCGU
This 534-nucleotide ribosomal RNA is filed under the name uncultured bacterium. RNAcentral's name for it is "bacterial SSU rRNA". It matches the Rfam family "Bacterial small subunit ribosomal RNA", at positions 32 to 561 of the family's 1533-position model. The record is from RNAcentral.